UGUUGAAGCACCACUUCCCAUAUGAUCACCGAAGUUAAGUAACAUCAAGCCUGGUCAGUACCUAGAUGGGUGACCCCUUGGGAAU
Non-coding RNA from Acanthosepion pharaonis, 85 nucleotides. NCBI's taxonomy places the organism in Eukaryota, Metazoa, Mollusca, Cephalopoda, Sepiida, Sepiidae. The record is from the annotation of a GenBank genome assembly.